AGCCAUUGAUUAACAAUUAGAUACAAGAAGCCUGGACUCGUCUUGCUGCUGCCAUGUUUGCGGAAAGAAAUCCUUGAACACCAGAGCUCUACAGCGACACCAGAGGACCCCCACUGGAGCCAAACCUCAUACAUGCUCCCAGUGAGGGACAGCAUUCUGUGUCCUGAACAGACUGAAGAGACACAAUUCCAUCGACACUAGAGAGAGUUUUCUCCUGUCCAGUGGGUGACAAGAGAUUUUCUCGCAUAGACAGCUUGGAACACCUCAGCAUACACAGAUGUUCAGCUAAAGCCAAGGAAGCUGCAGAAGCUUUGGGUGGAGUGGAGACGGCCGACACCACCACGAGGUCAGUUAUGUCGUAUUUGGAGAUCAAGUCUGCUGGAAAUAGGCCCCUGCAUCACCAUGGAAACCAAGAAAACCCUGUUGCAGACAACCACAGCCAAACAUCAGUGUGGAACGGUGGUCAUUAUACAGCAUUCAUCCCAAAUAUGUCUCACUCCAGUGCAGCAAAGGGCCACUGGGCUCCAGCAAGAGAAAGCAUUGAUUUCAGUGCUUGCUCAGGGGCACAGUGGUAAGUGAUACAUCGACCUCCCAGAUUAAGUGGACAUUCUCAGCUUCACAUGUCCAUGUAAGAAAGUAGUUGGAUCGGUUGGAAAUCACCGUAAAACUGUCAGUAGGUG
Molecule: long non-coding RNA, 680 nt
Organism: Etheostoma cragini (Arkansas darter)
Lineage: Eukaryota; Metazoa; Chordata; Actinopteri; Perciformes; Percidae
Exons: 3
Source: RefSeq, a predicted model, not a curated record